CUUAGUUUGUCAUUGUUGGUCAAUUUGUCCUACUCUUUGGAACCCAAGGUCUCUUUGGCAGCGUCACAGAAUAUACAACCACACAGAAGCGAAUCUGACUGUCGUUUCCAUUGAUUUUGUGGUGACCGAAAUAUUUGACCUUGUGCACCAGUUACAGAAUAGACCUUGAUGUUCUAAGGAAUAGACCAUUCCAAAUUAGGUUAUCCACUUAUUUCGAAGCCGAUCAAAAAAAAAUGAAUAUAAAAAUAAUGUUAUUUAUUGUGUUCUCCGUUCUCUUGUUUGUGAAUGGUGAUGGUGGAAUGUUUGACUACCAAAAGGACGUUAAGUAUCCUCCUGAAUGGUUUACAGGACAGGAUUACUUAAAAUGAAGCUACGAAUUUAGGUUUUAUGAUUUAUAAAAUAUAAAAUUUAAUUAUUCAUCAUAAAGCGUAUAAAUAAAAAACUAAGUAUUUAA
Molecule: long non-coding RNA, 454 nt
Filed under: Diabrotica virgifera virgifera (western corn rootworm)
Lineage: Eukaryota; Metazoa; Arthropoda; Insecta; Coleoptera; Chrysomelidae
Description: uncharacterized LOC126888854
Source: RNAcentral